Dipodomys spectabilis (banner-tailed kangaroo rat) is the source of this 106-nucleotide small nucleolar RNA. RefSeq annotates it as small nucleolar RNA ACA64. The record is from RefSeq and is a predicted model, not a curated record. NCBI's taxonomy places the organism in Eukaryota, Metazoa, Chordata, Mammalia, Rodentia, Heteromyidae. The transcript has a single exon.
GUUCAUUGAAAAUCACCCCCAGCUUCAGCCAUGGAGAUUCGGUCUAGGGCCUUAUACUCACUGCCCACUGCUGGUGUUGAACCAUGAAACCCAGGCCCCAACAGGC